UUGACCCCCCGAAACUAAGCGAGCUACUUCGGGACAGCCUUUUGGGCUAACCCGUCUCUGUUGCAAAAGAGUGGGGAGAGCCCCAAGUAGCGGUGACAAGCCUACACUCAAGAAAAGGAUUUUAGUCCAACCUAAAACCAAAAUAAUUUUACGAAAUAAAAUCUUGAUUUUAGUGUCACUCAGACGGGGUACAGCUCAUCUGAGACAGGGCACAACCUCAAACAACGGGUAAUCUUGCGUACACUAGUGACUAUGUUGGCCUAAAAGCAGCCACCAAAUAAACAGCGUUAAAGCUUCAUCAUUUUGUGUUAAUAAUCCCACAACCCACAACCAGCCCUUCAACAGUAUUGAGUAGUUUUAUACCGAUAUAAAACUUAUUAUGUUAAAACUAGUAACAAGAAGAAGGCCUUCUCUUUAAUGCCCCCUUAAAUCAGUACGGACAAACCACUGAUAAUUAACGUCCCUGACCCCCCUGUAAAAACUUCAACAAGAAAAACUUACUGACCCCACCGUUAACCUAACACAAGAGCAUUCCAAGAAAGAUUAUAAAAAAAAGAAGGAACUCGGCAAACACCCGCCUCGCCUGUUUACCAAAAACACCGCCUCUUGUAAACAUAAGAGGUCCAGCCUGCCCAGUGACAAUGUUCAACGGCCGCGGUACCCUGACCGUGCGAAGGUAGCGUAAUCACUUGCCCCCUAAUUAGGGGCUAGUAUGAAUGGCUACACGAAGGCUAAACUGUCUCCUUUUUUAGAUCAGUGAAACUAAUCCCCCCGUGAAGAAGCGGGGACACACCUAUAAGACGAGAAGACCCUAUGGAGCUUAAAACGAAGCAACAAUUGCAAAGCCUAUAUUAAAAAUAACCCGACAGGACAGCUCAAUGAUUGCUAGUUUUGGGUUGGGGCAACCACGGAGAAAAAUAAAACCCCCGCGUUGAAAAGAACACGACCUUAAGCAAAAAGCUACAACUUUAAGCAUCAACAAAUUGACGACAUUGACCCAAUAUUUUGACCAACGAAACAAGUUACCCUAGGGAUAACAGCGCUAUCUACUUCGAGAGCACACAUCUACAAGUAGGCUUACGACCUCGAUGUUGGAUCAGGGUACCCCAGUGGUGUAGCAGCUUCUUAAGGUUCGUUUGUUCAACGAUUAAAACCCU
This 1157-nucleotide ribosomal RNA is filed under the name Gastrotheca sp. L LE-2020. RNAcentral describes it as "partial large subunit ribosomal RNA". It matches the Rfam family "Bacterial large subunit ribosomal RNA", at positions 702 to 2597 of the family's 2925-position model. Lineage: Eukaryota; Metazoa; Chordata; Amphibia; Anura; Hemiphractidae. The record is from RNAcentral.